GCUCAAAUUUGAAAUCUGGCUCCCUCGGGGUCCGAGUUGUAAUUUGCAGAGGAUGCUUCGGCGAGAGCUCCGGUCUAAGUUCCUUGGAACAGGACGUCGCAGAGGGUGAGAAUCCCGUACGUGACCGGCCGCUCGAGCCAUGUGAAGCUCCUUCGACGAGUCGAGUUGUUUGGGAAUGCAGCUCUAAAUGGGAGGUAAAUUUCUUCUAAAGCUAAAUAUUGGCCGGAGACCGAUAGCGCACAAGUAGAGUGAUCGAAAGAUGAAAAGCACUUUGGAAAGAGAGUUAAAAAGUACGUGAAAUUGUUGAAAGGGAAGCGCUUGCAACCAGACUUGCCCGCAGUUGCUCAUCCGUCCUCCUGGGCGGUGCACUCUUCUGCGGUCAGGCCAGCAUCAGUUCGGGCGGCCGGAUAAAGGCCUCGGGAAUGUAGCUCCCCUCGGGGAGUGUUAUAGCCCGGGGUGGAAUGCGGCCCGCCCGGACUGAGGUCCGCGCUUCGGCCAGGAUGCUGGCGUAAUGGUUGUAAGCGGCCCGUCUUGAAACACGGACCAAGGAGUCUAACAUCUAUGCGAGUGUUUGGGUGUCAAACCCAUGCGCGUAAUGAAAGUGAACGGAGGUGGGAACCCUUUGGGUGCACCAUCGACCGAUCCUGAUGUCUUCGGAUGGAUUUGAGUAAGAGCAUAGCUGUUGGGACCCGAAAGAUGGUGAACUAUGCCUGAAUAGGGUGAAGCCAGAGGAAACUCUGGUGGAGGCUCGCAGCGGUUCUGACGUGCAAAUCGAUCGUCAAAUUUGGGUAUAGGGGCGAAAGACUAAUCGAACCAUUAGCUACUAGGUGGUUAAGAGGCGGCCGCGGGCCGCCUAGUCCCUCAUCCGGGGGCUACACUACUAAAUUGCGG
RNAcentral lists this ribosomal RNA (891 nucleotides) under Holmiella junipericola. RNAcentral describes it as "eukaryotic LSU rRNA". It matches the Rfam family "Eukaryotic large subunit ribosomal RNA", at positions 107 to 1414 of the family's 3401-position model. The record is from RNAcentral. Lineage: Eukaryota; Fungi; Ascomycota; Dothideomycetes.